Molecule: transfer RNA, 89 nt
Filed under: Acidobacteriota bacterium
Lineage: Bacteria; Pseudomonadati; Acidobacteriota
Also listed under: 3 other names
Description: tRNA-Leu
Rfam family: tRNA
About the family: Transfer RNA (tRNA) molecules are approximately 80 nucleotides in length. Their secondary structure includes four short double-helical elements and three loops (D, anti-codon, and T loops).
Source: RNAcentral
GCGGAAGUGGCGGAAUUGGUAGACGCGUAAGCCUCAGGAGUUUAUGGUCUUUAACGGCCGUGUGGGUUCGAGUCCCACCUUCCGCACCA